GACGGAGGAGGCUAGCGUUGUUCGGAAUUACUGGGCGUAAAGCGCGCGCGGGCGGUUUGGCAAGUCAGGGGUGACAGCCCGGGGCUCAACCUCGGAACGGCCUUUGAGACUGCCAGACUGGAGACCGGAAGAGGAGAGUGGAAUUCCCAGUGUAGAGGUGAAAUUCGUAGAUAUUGGGAAGAACACCAGUGGCGAAGGCGGCUCUCUGGUCCGGUACUGACGCUGAGGCGCGAAAGCGUGGGGAGCAAACAGG
Molecule: ribosomal RNA, 253 nt
Filed under: uncultured bacterium
Lineage: Bacteria
Description: partial 16S ribosomal RNA
Rfam family: Bacterial small subunit ribosomal RNA
Source: RNAcentral